UACGUAGGGUGCGAGCGUUAAUCGGAAUACUGGGCGUAAAGCGUGCGCAGGCGGUUUUGUAAGACAGGCGUGAAAUCCCCGGGCUCAACCUGGGAAUGGCGCUUGUGACUGCAAAGCUGGAGUGCGGGCAGGAGGGGGAUGGAAUUCCGCGUGUAGCAGUGAAAUGCGUAGAUAUGCGGAGGAACACCGAUGGCGAAGGCAAUCCCCUGGGCCUGCACUGACGCUCAUGC
Molecule: ribosomal RNA, 230 nt
Filed under: uncultured bacterium
Lineage: Bacteria
Description: partial 16S ribosomal RNA
Rfam family: Bacterial small subunit ribosomal RNA
Source: RNAcentral